GAUGAACGCUGGCGGCGUGCCUAAUACAUGCAAGUCGAGCGAACGGACGAGAAGCUUGCUUCUCUGAUGUUAGCGGCGGACGGGUGAGUAACACGUGGAUAACCUACCUAUAAGACUGGGAUAACUUCGGGAAACCGUAGCUAAUACCGGAUAAUAUUUUGAACCGCAUGGUUCAAAAGUGAAAGACGGUCUUGCUGUCACUUAUAGAUGGAUCCGCGCUGCAUUAGCUAGUUGGUAAGGUAACGGCUUACCAAGGCAACGAUGCAUAGCCGACCUGAGAGGGGGAUCGGCCACACUGGAACUGAGACACGGACAAGACUACUACGGGAGGCAGCAGUAGGGAAUAUUCCGCAAUGGGCGAAAGCCUGACGGAGCAACGCCGCGUGAGUGAUGAAGGUCUUCGGAUCGUAAAACUCUGUUAUUAGGGAAGAAAAUAUGUGUAAGUAACUGUGCACAGAUUGACGGUACCUAAUCAGAAAGUAACGGCUAACUACGUG
RNAcentral lists this ribosomal RNA (497 nucleotides) under uncultured bacterium. RNAcentral's name for it is "partial 16S ribosomal RNA". It matches the Rfam family "Bacterial small subunit ribosomal RNA", at positions 28 to 507 of the family's 1533-position model. The record is from RNAcentral.